GCUGCGGCGAAAGGAAUCAGAAUCACAUCAAUAUAUCUAUUAUUAAACUAUUAAUAAACAUGACAGCCGCCCACAUAUCGACAUGCCACCCAUUCAGAUGUAUCGAGGAACAGGAAAAAACCAAAGUCCAGCGCAGGGCAGCACUUCCAUUUAGCGAUUUAUUAGAAAACUAUCGAUGCCACUAUCGAGCGCUUGGAUGGCGGCCGUUAAGGAUAUCGAUCUCUCGGCAACCCACCCGUAUGUUGUUAUACCCUUCGAGUUCAAUUUGUACAGUAUUUAUUUAUUUAUUGCGUUUUAUAAUUAGCAAUCGUAUUUAACUGCAAAAACUAGUUAAGCUUGGUUGAAUUUGGGAACAUUUUUGGUAUUUAAAAUUCAUGUUGUAUGCAAAAAAAUUGUAUGUAUGACACGUGAUGAAAUAUUAUCUAGUCAAAUUUCGUUCGCUAUGGCUA
This is a long non-coding RNA of Drosophila pseudoobscura, 449 nucleotides long. RefSeq lists it as uncharacterized. The record is from RefSeq and is a predicted model, not a curated record. The transcript is spliced from 2 exons. Lineage: Eukaryota; Metazoa; Arthropoda; Insecta; Diptera; Drosophilidae.